RNAcentral lists this ribosomal RNA (433 nucleotides) under uncultured bacterium. RNAcentral's name for it is "partial 16S ribosomal RNA". It matches the Rfam family "Bacterial small subunit ribosomal RNA", at positions 29 to 507 of the family's 1533-position model. The record is from RNAcentral.
AGCGAACGCUGGCGGCAGGCCUAACACAUGCAAGUCGAACGAACUCUUCGGAGUUAGUGGCGGACGGGUGAGUAACACGUGGGAACGUGCCUUUUGGUUCGGAAUAACUCAGGGAAACUUGUGCUAAUACCGAAUGUGCCCUUCGGGGGAAAGAUUUAUCGCCAUUAGAGCGGCCCGCGUCUGAUUAGCUAGUUGGUGAGGUAACGGCUCACCAAGGCGACGAUCAGUAGCUGGUCUGAGAGGAUGGCCAGCCACACUGGGACUGAGACACGGCCCAGACUCCUACGGGAAGCAGCAGUGGGGAAUCUUGCGCAAUGGGCGAAAGCCUGACGCAGCCAUGCCGCGUGAAUGAUGAAGGUCUUAGGAUUGUAAAAUUCUUUCACCGGGGACGAUAAUGACGGUACCCGGAGAAGAAGCCCCGGCUAACUUCGUG